This 304-nucleotide ribosomal RNA is filed under the name uncultured Streptococcus sp. RNAcentral's name for it is "bacterial SSU rRNA". It matches the Rfam family "Bacterial small subunit ribosomal RNA", at positions 1076 to 1382 of the family's 1533-position model. Lineage: Bacteria; Bacillati; Bacillota; Bacilli; Lactobacillales; Streptococcaceae. The record is from RNAcentral.
UUGGUUAAGUCCGCAACGAGCGCAACCCUACUUGUUAGUUGCCAUCAUUCAGUUGGGCACUCUAGCGAGACUGCCGGUAAUAAACCGGAGGAAGGUGGGGAUGACGUCAAAUCAUCAUGCCCCUUAUGACCUGGGCUACACACGUGCUACAAUGGUUGGUACAACGAGUUGCGAGUCGGUGACGGCGAGCUAAUCUCUUAAAGCCAAUCUCAGUUCGGAUUGUAGGCUGCAACUCGCCUACAUGAAGUCGGAAUCGCUAGUAAUCGCGGAUCAGCACGCCGCGGUGAAUACGUUCCCGGGCCUU